Molecule: ribosomal RNA, 385 nt
Filed under: uncultured bacterium
Lineage: Bacteria
Description: bacterial SSU rRNA
Rfam family: Bacterial small subunit ribosomal RNA
Source: RNAcentral
AUUGAACGCUGGCGGAAUGCUUUACACAUGCAAGUCGAACGGUAGAGGGGGCAACCCCCUUGAGAGUGGGCGAACGGGUGAGUAAUAUAUCGGAACGUGCCCAGUCGUGGGGAUAACGUAGCGAAAGUUACGCUAAUACCGCAUACGAUCUACGGAUGAAAGCGGGGGGAUCGCAAGACCUCGCGCGAUUGGAGCGGCCGAUAUCAGAUUAGGUAGUUGGUGAGGUAAAGGCUCACCAAGCCGACGAUCUGUAGCUGGUCUGAGAGGACGACCAGCCACACUGGGACUGAGACACGGCCCAGACUCCUACGGGAGGCAGCAGUGGGAAUUUUGGACAAUGGGGCGCAAGCCUGAUCCAGCAAUGCCGCGUGCAGGAUGAAGGCCU